CCUACGGGGGGCAGCAGUGGGGAAUAUUGGGCAAUGGGCGCAAGCCUGACCCAGCAACGCCGCGUGAAGGAAGAAGGCUUUCUGGUUGUAAACUUCUUUUAUGAGGGAUGAAGGAAGUGACGGUACCUCAUGAAUAAGCCACGGCUAACUACGUGCCAGCAGCCGCGGUAAUACGUAGGUGGCGAUCGUUAUCCGGAUUUAAUGGGUGUAAAGGGCGUGUAGGCGGGCUUGGAAGUCAGAUGUGAAAACUAUGGGCUCAACCCAUAGCCUGCAUUUGAAAUUGUAGGUCUUGAGUGAGGGAGAGGCAGGCGGAAUUCCGGGUGUAGCGGUGAAAUGCGUAGAUAUACGGAGGAACACCAGUGGCGAAGGCGGCCUGCUGGACAUUAACUGACGCUGAGGCGCGAAAGCGUGGGGAGCAAACAGGAUUAGAUACCCGGGUAGUC
RNAcentral lists this ribosomal RNA (443 nucleotides) under uncultured bacterium. RNAcentral describes it as "partial 16S ribosomal RNA". It matches the Rfam family "Bacterial small subunit ribosomal RNA", at positions 338 to 795 of the family's 1533-position model. The record is from RNAcentral.